This is a long non-coding RNA of Schistocerca piceifrons (Central American locust), 1196 nucleotides long. RefSeq lists it as uncharacterized. Lineage: Eukaryota; Metazoa; Arthropoda; Insecta; Orthoptera; Acrididae. The record is from RefSeq and is a predicted model, not a curated record. The transcript has 2 exons.
GAUAUGACUGACGUAUGACGUGACGUUUUCAAAUUAAACGUGUGUAAAGGUUUAUAAUUUAUUAUAUUCUGCUACACUAAAAACCCUACAUGAGGCUAGUGGUACUAUGGGAAGUAUCCUCCCAUGCUCUCUAUAUCGGUUUAACAAGAGGGAUGUAGACGUAGGUUGUAACUAUUUAGGAGUAAAGUCAGUGUUGGGAAACACCUCACCGAGUGCAAACGGCCUUGGGUCGUCGACAGACACUCGAAAGAAAAGUUGCUGGUAAUACAAAUAAACACACACUGAAACACAUAUUUAUUUGGAAAGCCAGCAAGUUUUCUUCCCCUAUUGUGUGUGCCGGUCGACGACUAGGCGCUUCUUCUGUUCGGUGAGCAGUCUCCUGUACGUGUAAAUAUUUACGUUCUACCACAACUUUAAUUACCAUACGGAUGUGUACGUAGUUGUUUCACUAAAGACCCCAUGACUUGAAGAAGCGCUUAAAGCACAUUAAUCGUGUGGGAUAUUCCGUAAAGCGCAUUAAUCGUGUGGGAUAUUCCGUGUAAGGUAGGGCACACGAUAUUUAAAAGUUUACAAUUCGGUACUUUUUAUAUUUUUUUUGGAAAGAUUGGACUUUUUAAUGUAUGGUAACAAUAGUUUUUGGUCCAUUAUUGCUUUCCCUCCAUAAUUUGUAGCCAUGUUUAUAAGGCCAUAUGUUUUUAAUACGAUAAGAGUUUGAAUUAUUGGAGAUUUUGGACCUUCAUUUGAACUAAUUGGCAGGUUAGAAGAAGAUGACGUCCUCAGCAGCAGCAGCAGGGAGACAGAGCAGGAGGCAAAAGUUAAAAAGUGAACGAAAAUAUGAAGAAUUUAAGAAGCAGCUUGAAAAAUUCAGCAGAAGCAGAAACAAAAGUUUUUACAAUUGUGUCAACAUGAUCAACGACUGUUAUUAGAAAAAGGAAGAGCUAAAGCUAGGGACAGAAUUAGAAAACAUAGGCAACAUAAGAUGCAAGAUCAACACCCUAGUAAAGCAGGUUUGUCACCGUAUAAGUCACAUAUUGCUCUGGUUAAAGCCAUGGCUCGUGUGCUGCAGUUGUGUACAUUAACAAGGCACUGUCUACUAUACCUGAAAUGUGAAGGUAGUUUCAAUAUGGUCAGAUGGACUUGUCUCACAAUUUAAAAACAAAUAUAUUAACACUGCUGUACCUCAGUUUCAAUCAUUA